UUGUUUCUUUUUUUUCCCUCACUCGUGAAAUGAAAUUUGUGUGGUUCCUGCUAAAUGAGAACUCUAUGAUUCAGUCUUAUUAUUUGUUUGAAGCUCAAUAAUUUAGUUUUUACCCUACAGAGAUCCUUCUUUUUUUUCUACAUUUCUGUUCUGUGAAUCUAGCUAAUCUUACAAAGAGCUAAUAAAGACCAGCACUUGUAAUCAGUCUGCUUCCCAUGUGGCUUUGCUACAUUUUCUUUUGCUGAAAAAAUUUUCAGUUCU
This 261-nucleotide unclassified non-coding RNA is filed under the name Hevea brasiliensis (rubber tree). Lineage: Eukaryota; Viridiplantae; Streptophyta; Magnoliopsida; Malpighiales; Euphorbiaceae. The record is from RNAcentral.